Molecule: ribosomal RNA, 304 nt
Filed under: uncultured bacterium
Lineage: Bacteria
Description: partial 16S ribosomal RNA
Rfam family: Bacterial small subunit ribosomal RNA
Source: RNAcentral
CAGCAGCAGCCGCGGUAAUACGUAGGUGGCAAGCGUUGUCCGGAAUUAUUGGGCGUAAAGGGCUCGCAGGCGGUUUCUUAAGUCUGAUGUGAAAGCCCCCGGCUCAACCGGGGAGGGUCAUUGGAAACUGGGAAACUUGAGUGCAGAGGAGAAGAGUGGAAUUCCACGUGUAGCGGUGAAAUGCGUAGAGAUGUGGAGGAACACCAGUGGCGAAGGCGACUCUCUGGUCUGUAACUGACGCUGAGGAGCGAAAGCGUGGGGAGCGAACAGGAUUAGAUACCCCAGUAGUCCCUGUCUCUUAUAC